CGCCUCUUGACUAACAUAAGAGGUCCAGCCUGCCCAGUGAAAAUUAAACGGCCGCGGUACUCUGACCGUGCGAAGGUAGCAUAAUCACUUGUUCUUUAAAUAGGGACUUGUAUCAAUGGCAUCACGAGGGUUGCACUGUCUCCUUUCUCCAAUCAGUGAAACUGAUUUUCCCGUGAAGAAGCGGGAAUAAAAUUAUAAGACGAGAAGACCCCAUGGAGCUUUAAAUUUAAUGGCAACUUAAUUACAUACUCCUUAUAUUUAUAAAGCUAUGCACGUUAAUUUUAGGUUGGGGUGACCGCGGAGAAAAAUUUAACCUCCAUGACGAAAAGAUCUAAAUCUUUAUCCGAGAACUACCUCUCUAAGAAUUAGAAUACUAACGGACAAUGACCCGAUAAUCGAUCAACGAACCAAGUUACCCUGGGGAUAACAGCGCAAUCUACUUUGAGAGCCCCUAUCGACAAGUAGGCUUACGACCUCGAUGUUGGAUCAGGGUAUCCCAGUGGUGCAGCCGCUACUGACGGUUCGUUUGUUCAACGAUUAAAACCCU
Molecule: ribosomal RNA, 547 nt
Filed under: Feihyla palpebralis (Vietnam bubble-nest frog)
Lineage: Eukaryota; Metazoa; Chordata; Amphibia; Anura; Rhacophoridae
Description: partial 16S ribosomal RNA
Rfam family: Bacterial large subunit ribosomal RNA
Source: RNAcentral